Molecule: long non-coding RNA, 2549 nt
Organism: Oncorhynchus tshawytscha (Chinook salmon)
Lineage: Eukaryota; Metazoa; Chordata; Actinopteri; Salmoniformes; Salmonidae
Source: Ensembl
AUAGGAGACGGGACAGGGCGCUGUGCAAAUGGGGAGAAGAAAAAACGAAAGGACAGAGUAGGGAGGUGGUUUGCAGAACCGCUUGACUGAUCACACUGUAGCUAGCUCCCCCGACACUGUGCAGAGUAAAAGAGAGAGGUAGACCGGGAGAGAGAGGUGGAAGGAGAAGAACCGGGGUAGGCCUCGGCCUAGGUUUUAGGGGAAAGGGUUAUACACUCAAAGAAGAACUCCGUUCUAGGCAUGAAUAGAAUGGAUACAAAACUUUGAGACUGCACUAUUAUCUAGGCUGUAAUGGCAUUAUUCAGUUCGAUGCUGUUUGACUACACGUUGGGCUGCAUGCUGUAGCCAUGUGCCCAUCAAUACAAUGAUGGGGAGAAGUUAUAGAACAAAGGGAGAGAAGGUAAGAUUCUGUAAUUUGAGAGUUAUUGUGUGUAUAAAGGAUCCAUGCAAAGUAGCCUAUAGUGGGCUAAUGCACAGUGAUCCUACAUUGGAGUGGGGGAAGAUACAACUGAAAAAGGGACUUCUCUCCUUCCCUCCCCUCUUCUGAGUGUUGGCCCUCUGCGCCUCUUCCUUCUCCCUGCCUCCCUUUCUUCUCGCUCCCCCAUUCCUUAAGAAUAUGCAAAUCACGCCCUCCUCUCCCUCUCUUUCUCUCUUCCUCGAAGUGCAUCCCUUGCUCGCCCUCAGUAGAUUUUGUGACUGUACCGACGGCAAAAAGUGCAAGUCGUCUUGACGGAGGAAGGGGGAGAAAGAGAAGGGGGAGAAGGGGGUGGGGAAGAGGCAAACGUACGCAUCAAUUCGUACAGUCUUCAGCGGCACCCCGUUUUUUCCUGCAACGAUUUGGGAAGGAGAGAGAAAUUUCUGCAUUAUUUGCGGAACCGUUGCAAUAUGAUCCAGCAGCCUCUGUUUAUAGGUGCGCGUGCUGCCCCUAUGUGUGUAUGUCAACGUACAGUAUAAACCGAGAGAGACGGUUAAAGAAAGGGAGAGUGAAAGGGGACACGCAUCGCUGGAUAUCAUAGGUUGUAGAAGCUCAGAUGGUGGUGAGGUGAUUUUCAGUCCUACAGAGAAAGACAAGGACACCACUUCAUUCACUGCUAUGGCCUGUGGGGAGGGAUGGACAUCAUAAAGGAGUAACGAUGAAAACUCGAACUCACAAAGAAUCGAUGCCAAUGCGCAGUGGGCGGAGGCGGGGGGGAAGCAACGAGGAGAGGAGGGGUAGACGCCCGCAUCCCAGCCCUUCUCGUGCAGAACGAAACGACAGGCAGACGCAAAGAGCUGCUGGCGAGGAAUUGGCUGUCAGUCGCUUCAAUCACAGAUCACAAGGCCAUGAUUCGUCAGAGAGUGAAGGGGAGGAACUUGUGCCUCCACCAAAGAGGCAGAAAGUCCAGGAUUCUUCCUCUGUCACCAACCCACCGACUUCAACUCAUUCAACUGACAGUACUCCCCCCACUAUACCGCCCCCACCCUCGGCUCCCAGACAGUCACGUGACAGUGACAACGAGGAUGGUCAAUCCCAGGGCAGCAGGAGUUCAGUUGUAGGGAGCUUGGCCAAUAGUCUGAGCAGUGGGCGGGACAUCGACCAGGACAAUCGAUCUUCCUCCCCGAGUCUCUCUGCCUCGCCUCCAGCCAGUUUAGACUCUGACUCUGAUGGUCCAGACUCACCAAAGCAAGGAGAGGGGGAACGGGAGAAAAGGAAAGAGGGAGGAGUGGGGAAGACAGGAGGAGAGGAAAGGAGAGCAGCCAGAGAGGGGAGAGGGGAUGAGUCUUGCGGGGAUGGAGAAAGGAAGGAUGGAGGAAUAGAGGACAGCCCUUCUCUGAAGCUGCCAUCCUCCUCCAUCUCUUCCUCUGCUCCUGUUCCCUCUCUCCGCGGAGCAGGGGAUUCAGCCAAUGACAGCAAUAGUGUCAGGAAGUCCUAUUUCUCACAGGACUCCAAGCUGGUGAGCAAGAUGGAGUAUGGACCGGCCAGCGCUGACACUGUGCACAGUGGCAAUCGAAUGAACUCCAAAGCUAAAGCUCAGUGCGUGACCAAGGCAACUGUCGCCGGGGGAGACUAUCCCCACGGCAACCCCAACAUUCCACACCCCCCUCCACCACCCCUUCCUCCUCCACCAGCGCUGAAACCCUUAGAACUAGGGGGGCAGAACCUGCCCUCAGAAGUCAAGGUAGAGAGAGAGAAAAUAGAGAAAGGUGAGAAACUGAUGGACAACAAGACGGCUCCUCCCUCUCUGUUACCCCAAACCAGCCCCUUACCCCCCUCCCAGCCCCCGCCCCACCCCCACCACUAUAGCCCCACUGGCUGGCAGGGAGGCACCGCAACCGGUUGCCAGGGGAGCUGGGGCUACACCCGUUACUCUGGUAACCACCACACUCACCAGCCGCAGCACCAACCCCCAGUGCAGCAGCAGCAACUGCCAUCCGUCUACAACCCCCCUUCCUCCCGUCAUUCGUCCUCCUCCCACCCCCCUUACCUCCCCCACCCCCAUAAGGAGUACCUCCCCAGGUACGCUUCCGGGGGAGGGGAAAGGGAGAGGGGGGUGGCCGGCGAGAGGGAG